This is an RNA transcript of Cyprinodon variegatus (sheepshead minnow), 4384 nucleotides long. It is a transcript of the gene named ArfGAP with coiled-coil, ankyrin repeat and PH domains 1, with no coding region annotated. The transcript is spliced from 23 exons. NCBI's taxonomy places the organism in Eukaryota, Metazoa, Chordata, Actinopteri, Cyprinodontiformes, Cyprinodontidae. The record is from RefSeq and is a predicted model, not a curated record.
AGUCCGCAUCAGACGCGCAACUCUGACAGGCUGCUGCUCUGACGCGCUCCAGCUCAUGCGGGAAUAUUAACCUCUAAUUAUUACUCUUUAUUUCCCCUUAGAUCCUCUCAGCUCAGGGUUUGUUUGUGUUUUUGCAGCAUCACUGCAGCUGACUGAAGGAGUGGAGGGAUCUCUCCUCCUACCUCACCAGAUAAGAUGGCAAAAACAACGUUUCAAACCUCUGCCUUGAUUCAAAAGUGGUGACAAGUUGACUUCACACACGGAUGUGAGCCGGAAAAGACUAACAGGACGUUUUUUUUUUUUUUUUCAAGGGAAGGAUUACAUUUUUUUCUCCUUUUUUAUUUUCCUGUCCAGCGAUGAGCCAGGCUCCUACAGUGGGCCCCUGAACCCGGACAGACACAGUUUUCUUUUUUGCUCAAACUAAACUCCAAAGGAGGGAUUAAGAUUAACACCGCUGGUUCUGUGCAGAUUAACGCAGGGAUGACAGUGAAGCUGGACUUUGAGGAGUGUCUGAAAGACUCUCCUCGCUUCAGAGCUGAAAUCGAAGUUGUCCAAAAUGACGUGAGUGAGCUCGAGACUCGCCUGGAAAAGCUUGUGAAACAAUGCCAGGCCAUGCUGGAGGCCGGUAGAGUCUACUGUCAGACCAGUAAGAGCUUCGUCAAUGGUUUACGGGAGCUCGGACACCAGUGGUCAAAGGACAGCACCAUCGAGGACUGCUUGGACAAAUUUUCCAAAAAGCUGUCUGCCAUCUUGGAUGCACAGGGGGAAGUGAUUGAGACGAUUCAGAAGUCAGUGAAGACAAAGCUGCAGACCUUCGUGAAGGAAGAUGUUCGUAGGUUUAAGGAUGUCCGAAAAGAGUUUGAACGCUGUAGCGAGACUCUGGAGGGGGCGCUGGCCAGAAACGCCCAAGCUCCACGAGGGAAGCAGCACGAAGUGGAGGAAGCAACUAACGCUCUGCUCGGCGCACGCAAGGCCUUCCGGUCAGGGGCUUUAGACUAUGUGCUGGAGAUUAACGUCAUUGAAGCCAAAAAGAAGUCAGAUAUUUUGUCGGCCAUGCUGGCCCUCAUGGACGUCCAGUCUCAGUUCUUUAAACAAGGCCAUCAAUCUCUGUCAGAGCUGGAUCAAUAUUGCCAAAAACUGAGUGAAGAGCAAACUCAGUUUGUAUUGAACUCUGCCAGGGAUAAGAGGGAUAUGGAGCAAAGGCACUCAGCUAUUAAGAAAAAGGACAUGUCGUACGACGACCCCGUUUUGGAUUUUAAUGCUGAUGCUGCCAAUGGGAUAGCGAUGGAGGGUUACCUUUAUAAACGGGCUAGCAACGCCUUCAAGACCUGGAGCAGACGUUGGUUUUCAAUUCAGAAGAAUCAGCUGGUUUAUCAGAAGAAAUUUAAGGACCAGCCCACGGUUGUGGUGGAGGACCUGCGUCUCUGCACAGUCAAGCCCAGCACUGAAAAUGAGAGGCGAUUCUGCUUUGAAGUAGUGUCUCCGUCAAAAUGCUGUUUGUUACAAGCAGACUCGGAGAAGGAGCAGCAAGCGUGGAUCAGUGCUGUCCAAAACAGCAUCGCCUCUGCCUUUCAGGAGCAUAGAGAGGAUGCCCACAGCCCAAGACAGCGCUGCAGCUCAGUCUCCAUGAGCAAUUUAGGUGGAGGAGGAGGAGGAAGUGGGGAUCAGGAGAGCGAAGGCCUUAAGGCUCUAGAGGAGAUUCAGGCCAUCCCAGGAAACAAGCAGUGCUGCGACUGCGGAGAGGCUAGUCCUACUUGGGCCUCCAUCAACCUGGGAAUCACUCUGUGUAUUACCUGCUCAGGAAUACAUAGGAGCCUGGGCGUACAUUUCUCCAAGGUUCGCUCCCUCACUCUUGACUCCUGGGAACCGGAGCUCAUUAAGUUGAUGUGCGAAUUGGGAAACUCUGUGAUCAACCGGAUCUAUGAGGCUCGGAUUGAUGAGAUCACCAUCAAGAAGCCCCACCCUGCCAGCGCCAGAGGUGACAAGGAGUCAUGGAUUAGGUCCAAGUACGUUGAGAAGAAGUUUAUCCAGAAGUUGCCUGAGACUGGCAGAACCAACCUUUUGAGGCGGUCCAGCGCCAGGAGAACCCGAGCCACAACUCAGGAACGCAACGUUCAGAGGCCAGCUCUCAAACCCAAGCCGAACCGAGCCACGCUGCCUCGACUCACAAAUCUCAGCCCCAGUGACAUUCAGAAGAACAACUCUCAUAGAGAUUGGGAAGAAGAUGAAGAAGAGGAUCUCAGCGGCCUUCACCCCGGGGCAUUGUUGUACCGCUCUGCAGCGCUGCAGAACUUCCCCGUCAUGGCUGACGCGCUCGCCCAUGGGGCUGACGUCAACUGGGUAAAUGCGGCCGAGGAGUCGAGCACACCUCUGAUACAGGCCGUGUCGGUGAACGCCCUGGCAGCCUGUGAGUUCCUACUGCAGAACGGCGCCAAUGUCAACCUGGCAGACAGCAACAAAAGAGGACCACUGCACCACGCCACCAUCCUGGGCCACACAGGGUUGGUUUGCUUGUUCUUAAAACGAGGAGCUGACUACAACGCCCGAGACAAGAACGACAAAGACCCCAUAACCAUCGCCGUGGACAACGCAAACGCAGACAUUGUCACUCUGCUGAGGAUCGCCAAAAUGAACAAAGAGAUGCGGGAUAUGGACGGAGCAUUCGGCCCAUCAGGUCCGAACUCAGAGGGGCAGGAAAGCGGUGGGGUGGCGGGUGGGGCCAAAGGGGGCCGGGUGCACACUAAGAAAAGGAUUCAGGCCAAAAUGAAUCAAAUAAGCGACUGGGCUUUAGGAGGGGUGGAACGAUUAGCAGAGCUGAAAUCAGACCUUAAAACCUGAAUAAUAGCUUCCCAGAUAACUGAAUUUUCACAAUUUAUUCUACAACAGUCAUAGAAAUAAAAAGAAAUAUAAGAAACUUAAAAAAAAGAUGAAUCCAUACUGAAGCUCCAGGUGCACUUUGAAUUAAACUGUGAAUCGUGUUCGCACCUCUUUUACAAUGUCAGGUUUCUGUGAUUUAAAUGCAGUGAUGAAUUCUUUUAAAACUUUUCCACCUUUAAGGUGAUCUAAUCACCUUAACUAAAACACAAUCAUAUCUAUCAGAGGGACACAAUGUGCAAAAAAAUAGCUGAAGUAACCUGUUUGCAAAAGUGUGUAACACUUUGCUGAGAUCCAGCAUCCUGUUUUCUUUUGGUCAUGCCUAUAAAUUUGGCAUAGCAAUUUGUAAUUAGCUUAAGCCGCGCUGAUUUACUGGACAUCAGCUAGUUGCCAUCGUUCAGUGGGAGAAAAAGGCCAUAAAAAAAAAAAAAUCAGAUUCAUUUUCCUCUAAAUACAGCAUCCAAUCUUGGCUAAAAUAUUUUGGAAGAAAAUGAAACUAAACUUCAACUUUUGGUCCGUGAUGCUAAAGGGCAUGUGAUACUAUGAUGAGACUGAGAAUCAACAGAACAAAGCCAAACUCAACAGGGGCUGCUUCAUGUUAUAGGAUUAGACAGCAAAAUAACAAAAUCAAAGGCUGCUCCAACAAGCUUUCAUUUUAUUUCUACAUAUCCCCCAUCAAAAACACUGCCUUAUUGGUUCGGUUGCACAUCAGGAGAUUUUUUCAACAUUUUUCAAAUGAAUCGCGCAAACCUGGCGUUGUUUAAUUGGUGCAUGCAAUGUUUAUAUUCACUGCAAAUGCACAUCGGCACUUUGAAAAAGGUGACUAAAAAAUAAUAUGUUUUUGUACUUGUUACUGUUGCAUAUUGUAUAACAAGCCUUUUCCAAUGAGUUUGGAUACAACCUAUUUACUUUCUAUAUAUGUGCAUGGCUGUACUUCCAGUUAUUUAAGCUAAAUUCAGGGUGGGGUUUUGAGCUCACUGGUAAUUGUUUCCCCGCUAUUCUGUGAAUAGUGGCCUGGUUGAAGCUGUUAUAUUUAAUGUAUUUAUUAGCUACUGUUAGUCAGGUUCAAGGCGAUGUUUUGUCUCUUGUUGAAGCUCCACAGUCUCCUCUUCCAAGACUGAUCUGGGGUCAGUGUUGUUAACCGGCCUUAAGUUUCCAAUGGGAAUUAGUCUGGGGGUGGGAGGGUGUUUGGCAUGGAGGAACGGAAACGUGUUUGUCUGCUGGUCAGUUUUUGAAGUGCUCUGCUUUUUUACUGUCUGUCUUUGUUGUGUGCUCUCCUCGCCCCGCUGAGAUGCCCGUCUGGUCUCAACUGCUUGCGCAGUGUGUCACCUACAGCAAUCUAAGAGGUGAUGAAACUUACCAGGACAUUUUCAGAGACUUUUCACACAUGGCCUCUAAUAAUCCAGAGAAGCUCAAACGCCGCAGUGCGGAUCCUAAAUCUUAAAUGCCCUACACCCGACCCCCCAUCGGGCCUUUCCGUCAUUCGGUCCAGGUCUAACUUUUACAGCCC